UUUCCGUAGGUGAACCUGCGGAAGGAUCAUUAGUGAACGCCCUCACGGGCUUAUAACUAUUCCAAACCUCUGUGAACCGUGCCAUUCGGGGUUAUUUUACAAACAUUGUGUAAUGACCGUCAUAUAUCAUAACAAAACAAAACUUUCAACAACGGAUCUCUUGGCUCUC
This 169-nucleotide unclassified non-coding RNA is filed under the name plant metagenome. Its description in RNAcentral is "partial contains small subunit ribosomal RNA, internal transcribed spacer 1, and 5.8S ribosomal RNA". The record is from RNAcentral.